UUAUCUGAUCUUUCUGUUGGAGUUUAUCUAUCACAUCCUUCCCUUUUCUUCUGUAGUAGACUUUGAGUUCUCCUGGACUGUUGUCCUUAUCUGGUACUGCCACCUGAUUCAUAACAGCACUGCAUUGUGGCUUGCUAAGCUCUCUUGCUAUCACCCCAUCCCUACAUGUGCCUUAGAAGGAAAUUUCAUCCAUCUGUUCUUCAUUCCAAAUAGAAACUGAAUUUGAGAUAGGAGAAGAAAAUUUUAUCCAUCUGUUCUUCAUUCUGAACAGAAACUGAAUUUGAGAUGGAAAACAUCUUAUGGACUUAUGCCUUAAUAACUGAAUUUUUUGUAAGUAACCUCAAUUCUUUUCCUCUUUUUGGUUUACAGGGACACAAAAGGGAGCCCUGAAGUUAAACAUUUGCUCUUCAGGCCCACAUAACUUUAUUUGCUAUUAAUUCUUGUGAAUUACUUUUAUUAAACGAUUUGACUAUCUUAAACUUUAGGGUUUCCUGCUGAUUAUUUUUUGGCCAUAACUAGUUCUCAAUACUGUGAUAAAAUUCUGAAAUUGAUUUCUAAUUUUUCAGGAAGGUGUCAAGACAAAGCAUCCUCAAUUGCUAUAUGAAUCGAAGUUAUACAGAAUCCUUCAAGGA
RNAcentral lists this unclassified non-coding RNA (632 nucleotides) under Hevea brasiliensis (rubber tree). Lineage: Eukaryota; Viridiplantae; Streptophyta; Magnoliopsida; Malpighiales; Euphorbiaceae. The record is from RNAcentral.